This is a long non-coding RNA of Jaculus jaculus (lesser Egyptian jerboa), 501 nucleotides long. RefSeq lists it as uncharacterized. The transcript has 3 exons. The record is from RefSeq and is a predicted model, not a curated record. NCBI's taxonomy places the organism in Eukaryota, Metazoa, Chordata, Mammalia, Rodentia, Dipodidae.
AAAACAGGCUCCAGUGAGGAGGAGAAAGAGUCCAGGAAACAGGAAGUGUUUCACCAGAGUCCGCUGCACGCAUGCGCGAAGGCCGGGCCUGCCAGUCAGAGAUGCCCAGAACCUUGGGGAAAAAGGAGUGUCCACAGAGCUCAAUGACAAGACCAGAGACAACAGAAUGCUCAAUCAGAAGGUGGACAAGAACAGAGACAGCAGCUUUGUGGAACCAUGCUGUUAGGAAGGCCCAUGCCUUUGGGCUUUCCCAAAGUAAUUGCUCCAUUUCAUUAAUUUCAGCACAAUCUAUUGUUUAUUUCUAUGCCCUGAUUUUGAGUUUUGGGUGGUUUUUGAUUUUUGCAGACCUUGAAUGUGCCAUCAGGUUAUUUAUUUGAUCUUUCUGUGAUUGAUUAACAUAGCCUCUCUUAGUGAUAAAUUUCCCUCUUAGAACAGCCUUUCUGAGGCUGCAGAUGUGUCUCAGUGGUAUACCAUUUCCAUAGCAUGUGUAACAAAUUUCUG